RNAcentral lists this ribosomal RNA (381 nucleotides) under uncultured bacterium. RNAcentral's name for it is "bacterial SSU rRNA". It matches the Rfam family "Bacterial small subunit ribosomal RNA", at positions 29 to 400 of the family's 1533-position model. The record is from RNAcentral.
AACGAACGCUGGCGGCGCGCCUAAUACAUGCAAGUCGAGCGAGAAGACGUAGCAAUACGUUUGUAAAGCGGCGAACGGGUGAGGAAUACAUGGGUAACCUACCCUCGAGUGGGAAUAACUAGCCGAAAGGUUAGCUAAUACCGCGUACGCUCCUUGGACUUCGGUUCAGGGAGGAAAGCGAUAUCGUGGGUAUCGCGCUCUUGGAUGGGCUCAUGUCCUAUCAGCUUGUUGGUGAGGUAACGGCUCACCAAGGCUUCGACGGGUAGCUGGUCUGAGAGGACGAUCAGCCACACUGGCACUGCGACACGGGCCAGACUCCUACGGGAGGCAGCAGUAAGGAAUAUUGCGCAAUGGGACGAAAGCCUGACGCAGCGACGCCGC